GGACCACGACAGGAAGCAGCGGCAUUUCCUGAUGACGGUGGAGGGCGCUGCAGUCGCAGCUAUUGUAACAUCCAAGCGGCCGCUCGCUUUGAUCUGGUAGAAUGAUGAGCUCCCAGAUGACUUGAGGUUCGUGGCAGCGCCUGCAGGGGACGCUGCUGCGCUCGGGCCGGGAGCUGGGUCAGCGGAGUCUGCGCGCCCUGGAGCGGCCCAAGCAGAGGCGGCGAGGGCGGAGGCCCGGGGAAGAGGCUGCACCCAGCGUCUCCGCGCACAGUCCAGUUCCUUUCCCCGCCUGGAGAGGCGGCAGACGCGGGCGCGCAGAAUCUGGGAGGAGCCCAGACCGCUGGUUGCUUAGCAACGUGCACGGGAGUGUUAAUUAAAGCAGGCACAGGUUGCUGCUGCUGAUUAAGGACACCUCGCCUCCCCCCUUGACAUUGCGCAGUGACAAUCCCCCAAGUGUGUGGUUCCAGCCAGAUGAACAGAUCCGUGGGAAGGGGACAUGCCUGCGCCUAGAGAACACUGGGUGAAAUAAGCCCUCCAUAAUCAAAGGAGAAACGUGGAACCUGGCCCUGUGUGGGCAAGUUCAACGUUCUGUGCAGAUAGAUACUGGAUUCCUUUUUUUCAAAAUACAUAUCCUCUUGCUGACUGUGACUCACUGUAAUAAUUACUGCUGUGUCACAAAAGCCCCUGGAACGUAGUUUUAAA
This 702-nucleotide long non-coding RNA is filed under the name Cavia porcellus (domestic guinea pig). RNAcentral's name for it is "lncRNA (ENSCPOG00000038241.1)". Lineage: Eukaryota; Metazoa; Chordata; Mammalia; Rodentia; Caviidae. The record is from RNAcentral.